RNAcentral lists this ribosomal RNA (531 nucleotides) under uncultured bacterium. RNAcentral describes it as "bacterial SSU rRNA". It matches the Rfam family "Bacterial small subunit ribosomal RNA", at positions 273 to 796 of the family's 1533-position model. The record is from RNAcentral.
GCGACGAUCCGUAGCUGGUCUGAGAGGACGACCAGCCACACUGGGACUGAGACACGGUCCAGACUCCUACGGGAGGCAGCAGUGGGGAAUUUUGGACAAUGGGGGCAACCCUGAUCCAGCCAUUCCGCGUGAGUGAAGAAGGCCUUCGGGUUGUAAAGCUCUUUCGGCAGGAAAGAAAUGGCUUGGGUUAAUACCAUGAGUUAAUGACGGUACCUGAAGAAGAAGCACCGGCUAACUACGUGCCAGCAGCCGCGGUAAUACGUAGGGUGCGAGCGUUAAUCGGAAUUACUGGGCGUAAAGCGUGCGCAGGCGGUUUUGUAAGACAGAUGUGAAAUCCCCGGGCUUAACCUGGGAACUGCGUUUGUGACUGCAAGACUUGAGUGCGGCAGAGGGGGGUGGAAUUCCACGUGUAGCAGUGAAAUGCGUAGAGAUGUGGAGGAACACCGAUGGCGAAGGCAGCCCCCUGGGUCGACACUGACGCUCAUGCACGAGAGCGUGGGUAGCAAACAGGAUUAGAUACCCUGGUAGUCC